GACGAACGCUGGCGGCGUGCUUAACACAUGCAAGUCGAACGGAAAGGCCCUGCUCUUGUGGGGUGCUCGAGUGGCGAACGGGUGAGUAACAUGAGAGUAACCUGCCCUUGACUUUGGGAUAACUUCAGGAAACUGGGGCUAAUACCGGAUAGGAGCUCCUGCUGCAUGGUGGGGGUUGGAAAGUUUGGGCGGUUGGGGAUGGACUCGCGGCUUGCCAGCUUGUUGGUGGGGUUGUGGCUUACCAAGGCUUUGACGGGUGGCCGGCCUGGGAGGGGAACGGGCCACGUUGGGACUGAGAAAGGGCGCAGGCUCCGACGGGUGGCAGCAGUGGGGAAUAUUGCAGAAUGGGCGGAAGCCUGAUGCGGCAGCGCGGCGUGCGGGAUGACGGCCUUCGGGUUAUAAACCGCGUUCGCCUGUGACGGAGCGUGAGUGACGGUAAUGGGUAAAGAAGCACCGGCUAACUACGUG
RNAcentral lists this ribosomal RNA (468 nucleotides) under uncultured bacterium. Its description in RNAcentral is "partial 16S ribosomal RNA". It matches the Rfam family "Bacterial small subunit ribosomal RNA", at positions 28 to 507 of the family's 1533-position model. The record is from RNAcentral.